AAACAGAAUAAUAGUUGCGAAAUAGUCCCUCUCCGCACUCUUCCCCAUAGUCCAUGGCUGAUGCUCCCUUCCCCUUCCCAUGCGGGCUUCCGCCGCCGCACCCCGCUCCUACUCGUCUCUCACCAUGAAUUUCAAACUGGGCAGCCACCACGGCGCUACCGCCGCGGACGAGGAGGAGGAGGGAACGAAUCGUGUGCGUUGCGGUGGAUGGGAGGAUCACUAUCAGGGAUAUGGGGACUAGAUCGGAGUGUGGCUUCGCGGCCAGACCCAUCUAGAGCCUCUCUCCCCUCCGGUGGCUUCCCCUCGCUUGCUCGUGCGACCGGCGCGGUAGGCGGAGGCGUUCCUCUUCUGCGGCGGCGGCGGCGGCAGAGUAAUACGAUGUUAUUGCAGCGCAAUGUUUCGAGUUCCAAAAUCGCAACUUUCUCUUCAAUUUUCUCCAUCUCAAUGCUCAGCCAUGAUUUAUCUGAUUCAAUCACUUUCUCCUUGAGCAAAUAGAUCUGCUGUUCACUACCACACAGCGACACAGAUGUAAUUGUUGAAUUCGAUAUCAUGGCAUCGUACUAAGAUUCUGUUCCUUCGUUGACACUAAAAUAAUACAGACUGAUCAUUCGAUUCAUGAACUGGGAUCAAAUGACCAGCUACUCACACUUCUUACUUGAUACAUAAAAAAUGAAUCCUAAGCUGUGCACAUGGUCUGGAAAGUUUUCUAAAGAGAUGAUACAAUUGGCCCAUUAAGUUCCCUUUUCUGAUUUGACCAAAAUUAUAAUUGGACAAAAAACUGUUGCAGAAGAUGACUCAAAUACCAAAUCGACAAAUUUUAGUAGUCAAUUUCUCGAUAACUUUCAGAUCAUGUUACAGGUCAACCUUUCACAGUAUGCACAUUGAUAGCAGUAGAAUGAUUUACAACUAAGCAUAAUUUAUUUCAUAGAAUUUUGAACUUAACUGAACUUAACAUCAGAAAACCAAUGCCUUGCUUGGUGCUGCUCAUCUCUUAUUCUCCUCAGCACAUCUCAGAAGAUGGCCCUCCCUGCCUUGAGGCUUGAAGGUGUCGCCCCAUCUUAGCAGUAAGGGUAGACGGCGAUGCAGCGCCUGCGUCGGGGAGGUGUGCACAUCAUCAGCAGCAGCAAGGCGAGAACGAUGGUGACAAGCAGCCCCAGCAGGUUGAACGCCGGCUCAUCAUCUUCUUGGCUGCAACACAGCUUGCCCAUGUUAGCUGUUAGAGAGGGAGGAGGAGAUGAGUCUUGGUAGAAUGAGGAUGGAGGGGUGGGACUUGGCUAAAGGCUUCUUUCUUGGCUUGUGGAAUUUCUUUAAGGCAACGACUGGGGAUACAGGACACAGAUCUAUCUAUAGCAAUUAAAUUGCGGGUCGUCAACAUCAACUUGAAUUCUGCGACCACCUCGUCAUUGGCUUUCGCAACCAUGGCAGAGCCAUUAUCAGAUGGCGGAGGCGCACGGGAUGACUGGGUGGCGUCGGCGACGACGCUGGAUUUCCUCCGGAAGCGAUUGCACCUGCUGCUGCCGGAAUUGCCUUUGACCACAGCUUCUUUGGAGCCACCGCAACCCAUGGUGGCUCAAAGGAGAUGGAGAGGAGAGAACGUCGGAGAUGCAAAUGCAAUGAGAGGAAGAAGAAUUAAUAUGGGGUCUAGGAUUUGAGGCAAGGAGAAGUCUCGGGAGAUUAGGGUGUUAUAUGUCACGUGCAUGUAUGAAUGGACAAGCUCGUGGAGAAAUGCAUGCAUGCAUGCAUGAUUUGACAAAUUUAGGGAAACCAUAAACAAGCAAUAGUUCUUUUUUCUUCAUAAAAGAUGGAAGUUUCUGUUUUUUUUGUUGAAGAGGUUGUCACAAGUGUACUAUUUGUCUAAUUCAAGGUAUUUGUCUAAUUCAAGGUCA
This is a long non-coding RNA of Panicum virgatum (switchgrass), 1886 nucleotides long. RefSeq lists it as uncharacterized. Lineage: Eukaryota; Viridiplantae; Streptophyta; Magnoliopsida; Poales; Poaceae. The record is from RefSeq and is a predicted model, not a curated record. The transcript is spliced from 3 exons.